AAGCAACCUAGCAUGCCUCUAAACCAGGUUCCAACAACAAUUAACAUAUUCAUAACAUAACAACCAAGACCCUAUAUCAUCCUCCUCCUCAUUGCCAUGAUUCCACGUCACACUUUACCUGCACCACAAACACAAUGAGAUUCGUGAGUAUUAUCACAAAUACUCAGUGAAGCGAUCCUCCUAUACACACAAGCACUUAAGAUCACAUCCAUACAACAACAAUGUCACAAACAGCCAAAAAAGGCAAUCAAAAACACAACUAUCGCUCAUAGAAAACUGGUGUCGGUCGACACCAAAAGCUUGUGUCGAUCGACACCACCAAACUGCACUGCGAUCAACCGAAUGGUGACGAUCGACACCCCCCUGGUGUCGGUCGACACCCACCCCCUGAAACGCAUCCAACGACGAUCUUAGCCACCAAAGAAUCCCUAUAGCACCCAGACAUCACCUCCCACAACGACACAACUCAAUAACAAUCACAUAAGGCCACACAAACACCAGAAAACAUCACAAACACAAAGGAUUCAAUUCACAAAUCACAUAAACACAAAUCACAUAAACACAAAUCACAUAAUUCACAAAUCACAUAAACAUAAACCUCCAGAAACCCUCACAAGCCUCUCCUUAAGCUCUAGGAACAACCAACUCACAACCCUCUCUCUCUCUCUUUUCUUUUCAAGAAGCAACAAAAGCCAAAAGUGAGAAAGAAAGGCUGCUUCCACGAGUUUAAAGUCGUGCCUAGGGUUUCUGCAAUCAAUUCUAAUUAAACCGACGGUUUUAUAGCUAAACCGUCUAACCCAAUUUUGUUGAUGUAGAUCGACACCCAACACUGGUGUCGGUCGACACCACCAAAAUUUCAGACACGGGCGUUACAAAUGUAAUUAAGGGUAAUUUUAGAAAUUGAAGCCAAUUUUAAGCAAGACUUAAAUGUGUACUUCUUUUUUAAUAUAUAAGAGUAUAUGGUUGGAAUAGUUACAAAUUUCAUUUUGUUUUAGUUCUUAGUUAGUUUUGCCAAAAUCUCUUGCUUAUAUUAACACGCUUCAAUUCUUUCACAUGAAAAAAAAAACUGGUUAUUAAUUAUUAUUAAAGUUUACCAUAUGAUAUGUAACUUACAAUAAACUUGGUCAGAGUAACUCACCCAUAUUGUGUUUGCCCUUAGGUGACAUGGCCAUUGAGGUUAUAAUAGGUUUGGUCUUUUUUCUUAUGAUAGUUUUCAGUUGUGGUGUAGUGGAUGCUAAUAGGUUGUGCAAAUGAUAAAUAUUUAUAGUUUUUG
RNAcentral lists this long non-coding RNA (1273 nucleotides) under Capsella rubella. Its description in RNAcentral is "long non-coding RNA (CRUB_LNC005048)". Lineage: Eukaryota; Viridiplantae; Streptophyta; Magnoliopsida; Brassicales; Brassicaceae. The record is from RNAcentral.